CGCACGUUAUCAGGAGUGCGUUCAGAAUAAACGUCCGGGUGCAACCAGGUAUCACUUUCUUCUUGUUUAAUAUUCAAUAAACAAGAAGAAUAAAAUGAUCUCUGGGUGCACCCGGACGUUCGUUCUGAACGCAGUCCAGCGCUCUCUCCAAAGCCAGCUAGGGUGUCCUAAAAUGUACAAAUCAAAACAUUAUAGCAAGAAAGUUCUUGAAAAAUUAAGUAAAAUAUUAUUAUUUGUACAGUUUUAUUUCAUGCUGUAGAUACAACGAAGCUAGUCAAUCGCAGACCUUAGACGAUUGCGCGUCAUGCAGUUAUAAAUAUUAUCGAGUGACUCACGGAGUGUCUAAACGUAAUACUUUGCAAGUUGGUCUCUCGCUACCCUCUCUCUGUACUUCAUCUUCCUACUGCACAAACGCCAUUAAAAGAUAUGCAGAACUGCGUGCAUCUCCAGAGUGAGGAAACAGCAUCUAUAACUGAGAAAAUAAGUGGGACGUAGAGGUAGCACGCUAACCCACAAGUGGAACCCACGAACUUGCAGUAUCUUUGCGUAGCAUUUCCGUACAUCCCCCAUCCUCUUAAGAGAUUAGGGGUUCAGGACUACGCACUUCCCGGAACGUCUUCGAAGCAGCCUCUGUAAUUGAGAAAGAAACAAUAAGAUCGUCGUCGCGCGAGUCUUUCCAAAAAUCGCGUUCUGUUCUGGCACGUUGUUGCCUGUCACGCUGUACGUGGGUAGCCAUCCUGUGUCUUUGUUUCGCCGAACGCAAAGCCUCUCUCGCGUACGCUUGGA
Long non-coding RNA from Solenopsis invicta (red fire ant), 786 nucleotides. RefSeq lists it as uncharacterized. Lineage: Eukaryota; Metazoa; Arthropoda; Insecta; Hymenoptera; Formicidae. The transcript is spliced from 4 exons. The record is from RefSeq and is a predicted model, not a curated record.